CUGAGCUGUACACACUAUAUCAGGCACAAGGAAGGAGGCCCUAAGAAAUAGCACUUCCAGAAAGCAGCAUUUCCUGAAAUGAUAAGGUGUUCUCCUAGUCUACUCCUGCAACGUAUCUACUGACAUUGCCCCCACCCACACGCACAGCUUGAGACAGGACAAGAUAGACAAGGAAAUGGUAAUGAAACAGGCCAAGACCCGACAUAGACAAUCCAAAAAUCAC
Long non-coding RNA from Mauremys reevesii (Reeves's turtle), 223 nucleotides. RefSeq lists it as uncharacterized. The record is from RefSeq and is a predicted model, not a curated record. Lineage: Eukaryota; Metazoa; Chordata; Testudines; Geoemydidae. The transcript has 3 exons.